GCGGUUCAAAAGCUCGUAGUUGAAUUCCUGUCGAGAAGUGGUUCCCUUACCCUUUGGAUGAGGGUUACUACAUUCUUUACAUCUUCCAUAGUAAGUGUUCUUCACUUAAGUGUGCGGACAUCAUACUCUGGGCAUUUACUUUGAGGAAAUGAGAGUGCUUCAAGCAGGCAAACGCCUGAAUACAUUAGCAUGGAAUAAUAGCAUCGGAUCAUCGUGCAGCUUCUGGUGUCUGAACGAAGAUAAAGGUGAACAGGGGUUGUUGGGGGCAUUCGUAUUUAACUGUCAGAGGUGAAAUUCUUGGAUUUGUUGAAGACGAGCUACUGCGAAAGCAUUUGCCAAAGAUGUUCUCAUUGAUCAAGAACGAAAGUUAGGUGAUCGAAGACGAUCAGAUACCGUCCUAGUCUUAACCAUAAACUAU
This 418-nucleotide ribosomal RNA is filed under the name uncultured marine eukaryote. Its description in RNAcentral is "bacterial SSU rRNA". It matches the Rfam family "Eukaryotic small subunit ribosomal RNA", at positions 615 to 1040 of the family's 1831-position model. The record is from RNAcentral.